UACAGAGGUCCCAAGCGUUGUUCGGAUUUAUUGGGCGUAAAGGGUGCGUAGGCGGCGGAGUAAGUUGGGUGUGAAAUCCCGGGGCUCAACCUCGGAAUGGCAUUCAAUACUGCUUCGCUUGAGUACUGGAGAGGAGGCUGGAAUUUACGGUGUAGCAGUGAAAUGCGUAGAUAUCGUAAGAAAGGCCGGUGGCGAAAGCGAGCCUCUGGACAGUUACUGACGCUGAUGCACGAAGGCCAGGGGAGCAAACGGG
Molecule: ribosomal RNA, 253 nt
Filed under: uncultured bacterium
Lineage: Bacteria
Description: partial 16S ribosomal RNA
Rfam family: Bacterial small subunit ribosomal RNA
Source: RNAcentral